GAGUGGCGAACGGGUGAGUAACACGUGGGUAACCUGCCCAGAAGUAGGGGAUAACACCUGGAAACAGAUGCUAAUACCGUAUAACAGAGAAAACCGCAUGGUUUUCUUUUAAAAGAUGGCUCUGCUAUCACUUCUGGAUGGACCCGCGGCGUAUUAGCUAGUUGGUGAGGUAAAGGCUCACCAAGGCAGUGAUACGUAGCCGACCUGAGAGGGUAAUCGGCCACAUUGGGACUGAGACACGGCCCAGACUCCUACGGGAGGCAGCAGUAGGGAAUCUUCCACAAUGGACGCAAGUCUGAUGGAGCAACGCCGCGUGAGUGAAGAAGGGUUUCGGCUCGUAAAGCUCUGUUGUUAAAGAAGAACGUGGGUAAGAGUAACUGUUUACCCAGUGACGGUAUUUAACCAGAAAGCCACGGCUAACUACGUGCCAGCAGCCGCGGUAAUACGUAGGUGGCAAGCGUUAUCCGGAUUUAUUGGGCGUAAAGCGAGCGCAGGCGGUCUUUUAAGUCUAAUGUGAAAGCCUUCGGCUCAACCGAAGAAGUGCAUUGGAAACUGGGAGACUUGAGUGCAGAAGAGGACAGUGGAACUCCAUGUGUAGCGGUGAAAUGCGUAGAUAUAUGGAAGAACACCAGUGGCGAAGGCGGCUGUCUGGUCUGCAACUGACGCUGAGGCUCGAAAGCAUGGGUAGCGAACAGGAUUAGAUACCCUGGUAGUCCAUGCCGUAAACGAUGAUUACUAAGUGUUGGAGGGUUUCCGCCCUUCAGUGCUGCAGCUAACGCAUUAAGUAAUCCGCCUGGGGAGUACGACCGCAAGGUUGAAACUCAAAAGAAUUGACGGGGGCCCGCACAAGCGGUGGAGCAUGUGGUUUAAUUCGAAGCUACGCGAAGAACCUUACCAGGUCUUGACAUCUUCUGACAGUCUAAGAGAUUAGAGGUUCCCUUCGGGGACAGAAUGACAGGUGGUGCAUGGUUGUCGUCAGCUCGUGUCGUGAGAUGUUGGGUUAAGUCCCGCAACGAGCGCAACCCUUAUUACUAGUUGCCAGCAUUAAGUUGGGCACUCUAGUGAGACUGCCGGUGACAAACCGGAGGAAGGUGGGGACGACGUCAAAUCAUCAUGCCCCUUAUGACCUGGGCUACACACGUGCUACAAUGGAUGGUACAACGAGUCGCGAGACCGCGAGGUUAAGCUAAUCUCUUAAAACCAUUCUCAGUUCGGACUGUAGGCUGCAACUCGCCUACACGAAGUCGGAAUCGCUAGUAAUCGCGGAUCAGCAUGCCGCGGUGAAUACGUUCCCGGGCCUUGUACACACCGCCCGUCACACCAUGAGAGUUUGUAACACCCAAAGCCGGUGGGGUAACCUUUUAGGAG
RNAcentral lists this ribosomal RNA (1368 nucleotides) under Pediococcus sp. enrichment culture clone 3. Its description in RNAcentral is "16S ribosomal RNA". It matches the Rfam family "Bacterial small subunit ribosomal RNA", at positions 93 to 1448 of the family's 1533-position model. The record is from RNAcentral. Lineage: Bacteria; Bacillati; Bacillota; Bacilli; Lactobacillales; Lactobacillaceae.